RNAcentral lists this long non-coding RNA (4492 nucleotides) under Vombatus ursinus (common wombat). RNAcentral's name for it is "lncRNA (ENSVURG00010003591.1)". Lineage: Eukaryota; Metazoa; Chordata; Mammalia; Diprotodontia; Vombatidae. The record is from RNAcentral.
CACAGUGCAAUACUCCAACUUCCUCAAGUGAAUCCAUGCAAGUUUCAUAUUUCUCUAUCCCAAGGUCAUCAAGUACAUUGCCACAAGGAUCAUCUUUCUUAGAACCAUUUUUAGUAGACAAAUCCGUACAAGUUUCCUCAUAUUCAGAUCUAAGUUCAGGGGGAGAAGUGACAGAAUUUCCUUCUUCUUCCAGCAUGAGUUCAGUCAGCGAAUCCACAAAAUGUGUGUCUACCUCCAGCUCAGAAGAUUCCAUUGCUUCCAAAAUAGCAGCAAUGAGCAUAUCUGUGCAAUUUCCUUCUAUCUCAGGCAUAGCUACACCAACAGUAGCCACAGAAAAUCAAUCCAUAGAAGAUGCCACACCUUCAGACCUCUUUGCACUGACCAAAUCUAUACAAUUUCCUUCUGUCUCAUACUCAGCUACAUCAACAGAAGCAACAGAAAGUCAAUCCAUGGAAGACACCAUACUUUCAGACCUCUUUGCACUGACCAAAUCUGCGCAAUUUCCUUCUGUCUCAUGUACGACUACAUCAACAGAAGAAAUAGAUGCCAUACCUUCAGACCUCUUUGCAUUGACCAAAUCUGCGCAAUUUCCUUCUGUCUCAUGCACGACUACAUCAACAGAAGUCAUAGAUGCCACGCCUUCAGACCUCUUAGCACUGACCAAAUCUAUGCAAUUUCCUUCUGUCUCAAGCAUGGCUACCUCAACAGAAGUACCAGGAACUCCUCCUCCAUCCAAUUUCAGUUCAGUGACUCAAUCUAUGGAAGAUGCCACACCCUCAGGCCCACUUUUGCUCACCAAAUCUGUGCAAUUUCCUUCUAUCUCAGGCCCAGCUAUCUCAACAGAAGUCUCAGGAAAUUCUCCUCCAUCUAAUUUAAGUUCAAUGAUUCAAUCUAUGGAAGAAGUAAUGCCUUCAGGCCCACUGGCCCUGAACAAAUCUGUGCAGUUUCCCUCUUUCUCAGGCCCAAAUGCACCAAUAGCUGUCACUGAACUUCCUUCUUUCUCUGCACUAAGCUCAUCAAGGGAAUCCACAAGCGUUCCUUAUGUUGAGAGAUUUUUUGCAAAUAAAGCUAUUCAAAUUCCCUCUGUAUGUGAAAUAAUUUUAGUGAAUGACUCUGCAGAAGUUCUGUCUGCCUUCAGCCCAAGUCAAUCAGGAGAAUUUGUACAAGAAUCAACUGCAUCUAGAACAAUUUCAGGAGGCAAAUCAUUGCAAGUUCCUUCUUCUGCUGGUAUAAUUUCUUCAAGUAAAUCUACAAAAUUUUCUUCCUCCGAUGGAAUUUCAGUGACAAAAUCUACACAAGUUCCUUCAUUUGACUCAACAUCAAGUGAAUGCAAAGAAGUUCAAUCUUUCUCAGUUCCACUUUCAUUAGACAAAUCCACACAAGUUCCUGAUUUCUCUGAUACAAGGUCAUCAAAAGAAACCAUACAUUUUCUCUCAACCUACCAUGCCAUUGCCACAAACAAAUUGAUACAAGUUCCUUCCUUCUCUGAUGUGAAUUCAUCUACUAAAUGCAAAGAAGAAGUUAUAUCUUUUCCAGGUCCAUUUUCAUCAAGAGAAUCCACACAAUGUCCCUCAGAUUUUGUUGCUAUUUCAGGCAUCAGGUCUAUUAAGUUUACUUCACUUUCUGAUCUAAGUCCAUCAGAUACAGGCAAACAAGUGCUACCACCUUUCCAAGUUCCAGUUUCAUCAAAAGAAUCUAGAAAUGUUUCUACUUUCUCUGAAACUAAUUCACCAAUAGAAGCUGCAAAAGUUCCCCCUACUUGUGGUGCCCUUAUAGUUGCCAAGCGCACACAAAUUCCUUUUAUUUCUGACUUACACUCAUCAACGAUAGGAAGAGAAAAAUUUAUGUCUUUCACAGGUCCACUCUUACCAAAGAAACCAUUAGAACUUAACUCAAAUUUUGCUGCUAUUUCACUCAGCAAACAGACACAAAUUCCUUCCAUCUCUGACCCAAGUUCAUUAAAUGUGAGGAUGGAAAACCUUCGAUCUUUCUUGCUUACAAUUUGCCCAAUAGAAUCCAGGCAGUUUUCUGAUUUCUCUGACUCAUGUUUAGUAAGAGGAGAUAUACAAAUGCCUUCCAUCCAUAGCCCUCUUUCAGUGAGCAAAUGCAUACAACUUUCUUACUCGUCUGAUAAUAGUUUGCCAACAGAAACUUUACAAGUUCCCUCUACCCACCUUGCUAUCAGAGUGAGCAAAUCAACACAACCUACUUCCUUCUCUCAUGCAAGUUCAUCAACUGCAUGCAUACAAAAAAUUCUUUCUUCUCGAUAUCCUCUUUCAUCAAGGGAAUCCAUUCAAAAUCCCUCAAACUUUGGUGUUAUUUCAGUCAGCAAGUUCACAAAAUUUCCUUCUUCCUCUGUCCUAAAUUUGUUGAAUGUGAACACAGAAAUGCCAUCUUUCUUGCUUCCAUUUUUUCCAAAAGAAUCCAGGCACUUUUCUGAUUUCUCUGAUACAAGUUUACCAAGAGAAAACACACAAAUUCCCUCUAUCCUUAGACCUAUUUCAGUGAUCAAACACACACAAUUAUCUCACUCCUCUAAUAAAAGUUUACCAACAGACACUUUACAAGUUCCCUCUACCCACCUGACUAUCACAGUGAGCAGAUCACCACAACCUACUUCCUUCUUUGAUGCAUGUUCAUCAAAUGUAUGCACAGAAAAAGUUCUUUCAUUCCCAGGCCCACUGAAAUCAAGGGAAUCCAUCCAACAUCCCUCAAAUCUUGGUGUUAUUUCAGUCAACAAAUUUAUCCAACUUUCUUCUCCCUCUGCCCCAAGUUCAUUGAACAUGAAGACAAAAGAAAUUCCAUCUUUAUUGUUUCCAUUUUGUCUAAUACAAUCCAAGCAGUUUUCUGAUUUCUCUGAUACAAGUUUACCAAGAGAAAACACACAAAUUCCCUCUAUCCUUAGACCUAUUUCAGUGAUCAAAUGCAUACAAUUUUUUCACUCUUCUGACAAAAGUCUUUCAAUAGAAACUUUACAAGUUCCCACCACCCACCUUGCUAUCACAGAGAGCAAACCAACGCAACCUGUUUCCUUGCUUGAUGCAAGUUCAUCAGCUGUAGGCAUAGAACGAGCUAUGACUUUGCCAGGUCCACUGAAAUCAAGAGAAUCCAUCCAACGUCCCCCCAACCUUGGUCUUAUUUCAGCCAACAAGUCCUCCCAAUUUCAUUCUCCCUCUGUCCCAAGUUCACUGAAUGUAAACACAGAAGUUCCAUCUUUCUUGCUUCCAUUUUGUCCAACAGAAUCCAGGCAGUUUACUGAUUUCUCUGACACAAGUCUACCAAAGGAAGACACACAAAGCCCUUCUAUCCUUGGACUUAUUUCUGUGAGCAAAUGCACACAAUUGUCUCACUCCUCUGACAAAAGUUUACCAACAGAAACUUUACAAGAUCCCCCCACCGACCUGGCUGUCACAGAGAGCAAAUCAACACAAUCUACUUCCUUGUUUGAUGCAAGUUCAUCAGCUACAGAUAUGGAACAAGCUAUGUCUUUGCCAGGUCCACUGAAAUCAAGGGAAUCCAUUGAAUAUCCCUCCAACCUUGGUCUUAUUUCAGUCAACAAGUCCACCCAAUUUCCUUUUCCCUCCAUUCCAAGUUCAAUGAAUGUGAACAAAGAAGAAGUCCCGCCUUUCUUGCUUCCAUUGUGUCCAACAGAAUCCAGGCAGUUUUCUGAUUCAUCUGAUACAAGUCUACCAAGAGAAGACACACAAAACCCUUCUAUCCUUGGACCUAUUUCAGUGAGCAAAGGUGCACAACUUUCUCACUCCUCUGACAAAAUUUUGCUAACAGAAACUUCACAAGUCCCCUCCACCCACCUCGAUGUCACAGAGAGCAAAUCAACACAAUCCAUUUAUUUCUUUGAUGCAAGUUUAUCAUCUGUAGACACAGAAGUUAUUUCUUUUCUGGAUCCACUGAAAUCAAAGGAAUCCAUUCAACAUCUCUCCAGCCUUGGUCUUACUUCGGUCAACAAGUCUACCCAAUUUCCUUUUCCCUCUGUUCCAAGUUCACUGAAUGUGAAAAUAGAAGAAGUUCCAUCUUUCUUGCUUCCAUUUUGUCCAACAGAAUCCAGGCAGUUUUCUGAUUUCUCUGACACAAGUCUACCAGACGAAGACACACAAAGUCCUUCUAUCCUUGGANNNNNNNNNNAAGAAAUCAUGUCUUUCCGGAGUCCACUGAAAUCAGGGGAAUCCAUCUAAUAUCCCUCCAACCUUGGUCUUAUUUUAGUCAACAAGUCCAUCCAAUUUCCUUCUUCCUCUGCUCCAAGUUCAUUGAAUGUGAACACAGAAGAAGUUCCAUCUGCCUUGCUUCCAUUUUGUCCAACAGAAUCCAGGCAGUUUUCUGAUUUGCCUGACACAGGUCUACCAAAAGAAGACACACAAAGCCCUUCUAUCCUUGGACCUAUUUCAGUGAGCAAAUGCACACAAUCGUCUCACUCCUUUGACAAAAGUUUGCCAACAGAAACUUUACAAGUGCCCUCCACCUACAUGGCUGAGUC